UAGGGAAUUUUCGUCAAUGGGGGAAGCCCUGAACGAGCAAUGCCGCGUGUGUGAAGAAGGUCUUCGGAUCGUAAAGCACUGUUGUAAGUGAAGAAUGCCACAUAGAGGAAAUGCUAUGUGGGUGACGGUAGCUUACCAGAAAGCCACGGCUAACUACGUGCCAGCAGCCGCGGUAAUACGUAGGUGGCAAGCGUUAUCCGGAAUCAUUGGGCGUAAAGGGUGCGUAGGUGGCACGAUAAGUCUGAAGUAAAAGGCAACAGCUCAACUGUUGUAUGCUUUGGAAACUGUCGAGCUAGAGCUGCAGAAGAGGGCGAUGGAAUUCCAUGUGUAGCGGUAAAAUGCGUAGAUAUAUGGAGGAACACCAGUGGCGAAGGCGGUCGCCUGGUCUGUAACUGACACUGAUGCACGAAAGCGUGGGGAGCAAAUAGGAUUAGAUACC
This 439-nucleotide ribosomal RNA is filed under the name uncultured bacterium. RNAcentral's name for it is "bacterial SSU rRNA". It matches the Rfam family "Bacterial small subunit ribosomal RNA", at positions 355 to 786 of the family's 1533-position model. The record is from RNAcentral.